AUCGCUUCUCGGCCUUUUGGCUAAGAUCAAGUGUAAAAGAUUUCUAUGACAACAACUAUUUAAUUCAACGAUUGCCUUCUGUCCUUAGCAAAUAUUUUCUGAUUGUCUCUAAUUUUUAACAAAUGUUCAAGCCAUUUUAUGGCCAUCAUUGAACUACAGGGCACUGUAGUAGUUCACUGAAGCAUCU
Heterocephalus glaber (naked mole-rat) is the source of this 187-nucleotide small nuclear RNA. Its record names the gene U2. It matches the Rfam family "U2 spliceosomal RNA". Rfam says of the family: U2 is a small nuclear RNA (snRNA) component of the spliceosome (involved in pre-mRNA splicing). Complementary binding between U2 snRNA (in an area lying towards the 5' end but 3' to hairpin I) and the branchpoint sequence (BPS) of the intron results the bulging out of an unpaired adenosine, on the BPS, which initiates a nucleophilic attack at the intronic 5' splice site, thus starting the first of two transesterification reactions that mediate splicing. NCBI's taxonomy places the organism in Eukaryota, Metazoa, Chordata, Mammalia, Rodentia, Bathyergidae. The record is from Ensembl.